UACGGAGGAUGCAAGCGUUAUCCGGAUUUAUUGGGCGUAAAGCGUCCGCAGGUGGUUUUACAAGUCUGCUGUCAAAGCGCGGAGCUUAACUCCGUAAGGGCGGUGGAAACUGUGAGACUAGAGUCUGGUAGGGGUCACGGGAAUUCCCAGUGUAGCGGUGAAAUGCGUAGAUAUUGGGAAGAACACCGGCGGCGAAAGCGCGUGACUGGACCGGAACUGACACUGAGGGACGAAAGCUAGGGGAGCGAAA
RNAcentral lists this ribosomal RNA (250 nucleotides) under uncultured bacterium. RNAcentral's name for it is "partial 16S ribosomal RNA". It matches the Rfam family "Bacterial small subunit ribosomal RNA", at positions 524 to 773 of the family's 1533-position model. The record is from RNAcentral.